UGGGGAAUAUUGGACAAUGGGCGCAAGCCUGAUCCAGCCAUGCCGCGUGAGUGAUGAAGGCCCUAGGGUUGUAAAGCUCUUUCACCGGUGAAGAUAAUGACGGUAACCGGAGAAGAAGCCCCGGCUAACUUCGUGCCAGCAGCCGCGGUAAUACGAAGGGGGCUAGCGUUGUUCGGAUUUACUGGGCGUAAAGCGCACGUAGGCGGACUAUUAAGUCAGGGGUGAAAUCCCGGGGCUCAACCCCGGAACUGCCUUUGAUACUGGUAGUCUUGAGUUCGAGGGAGGUGAGUGGAAGUCCGAGUGUAGAGGUGAAAUUCGUAGAUAUUCGGGGGAACACCAGUGGCGAAGGCGGCUCACUGGCUCGAUACUGACGCUGAGGUGCGAAAGCGUGGGGAGCAAACAGG
Molecule: ribosomal RNA, 404 nt
Filed under: Actinomycetes bacterium
Lineage: Bacteria; Bacillati; Actinomycetota; Actinomycetes
Description: Actinobacteria bacterium partial 16S ribosomal RNA
Rfam family: Bacterial small subunit ribosomal RNA
Source: RNAcentral